RNAcentral lists this ribosomal RNA (484 nucleotides) under uncultured Bacteroidota bacterium. RNAcentral describes it as "bacterial SSU rRNA". It matches the Rfam family "Bacterial small subunit ribosomal RNA", at positions 28 to 505 of the family's 1533-position model. Lineage: Bacteria; Pseudomonadati; Bacteroidota. The record is from RNAcentral.
GAUGAACGCUAGCGGGAGGCUUAACACAUGCAAGUCGAGGGGCAGCGGAGAUUGCUUGCAAUCAGACGGCGACCGGCGCACGGGUGCGUAACGCGUAUACAAUCUGCCCUAUACUGGAGAAUAGCCCAGAGAAAUUUGGAUUAAUGCUCCAUAGUCUUUCCGAAUCGCAUGAUUUGGUUUGUAAAGCUCCGGCGGUAUAGGAUGAGUAUGCGUCCCAUUAGCUAGUUGGUAAGGUAAAGGCUUACCAAGGCUACGAUGGGUAGGGGUUCUGAGAGGAUGAUCCCCCACACUGGUACUGAGACACGGACCAGACUCCUACGGGAGGCAGCAGUGAGGAAUAUUGGUCAAUGGGCGCAAGCCUGAACCAGCCAUCCCGCGUGAAGGAUGACGGCUCUAUGAGUUGUAAACUUCUUUUAUAUACCAAGAAAUGCAGAUACGUGUAUUUGUUUGACGGUAGUAUAUGAAUAAGCACCGGCUAACUCCG